RNAcentral lists this ribosomal RNA (484 nucleotides) under uncultured bacterium. RNAcentral's name for it is "partial 16S ribosomal RNA". It matches the Rfam family "Bacterial small subunit ribosomal RNA", at positions 30 to 507 of the family's 1533-position model. The record is from RNAcentral.
AUUGAACGCUGGCGGCAGGCCUAACACAUGCAAGUCGAGCGGAUGAAGGGAGCUUGCUCCUGGAUUCAGCGGCGGACGGGUGAGUAAUGCCUAGGAAUCUGCCUGGUAGUGAGGGAUAACGUCCGGAAACGGGCGCUAAUACCGCAUACGUCCUGAGGGAGAAAGUGGGGGAUCUUCGGACCUCACGCUAUCAGAUGAGCCUAGGUCAGAUUAGCUAGUUGGUGGGGUAAAGGCCUACCAAGGCGACGAUCCGUAACUGGUCUGAGAGGAUGAUCAGUCACACUGGAACUGAGACACGGUCCAGACUCCUACGGGAGGCAGCAGUGGGGAAUAUUGGACAAUGGGCGAAAGCCUGAUCCAGCCAUGCCGCGUGUGUGAAGAAGGUCUUCGGAUUGUAAAGCACUUUAAGUUGGGAGGAAGGGCAGUAAGUUAAUACCUUGCUGUUUUGACGUUACCAACAGAAUAAGCACCGGCUAACUUCGUG